Long non-coding RNA from Orcinus orca (killer whale), 362 nucleotides. RefSeq lists it as uncharacterized. The transcript is spliced from 3 exons. The record is from RefSeq and is a predicted model, not a curated record. Lineage: Eukaryota; Metazoa; Chordata; Mammalia; Artiodactyla; Delphinidae.
GGUGCAUGGGCACGACACGGGUCCUGGCGGAGCCCGAGCCACCACUCACCAUCCUGGGAGAGCGACAGCGGCAGCAGCAGCAGAAACGCUGAGAGCACCAGCGCGAAGCGCAUCGUGUCCUGGCCUCAGACCCGGAGCAGGCAGGCAACUGACUGAAAAAGAGGUUUAAGAAACUUGCUCGAGAUCACAUAACUGCUAACUGUCAGGCCUGCUUCUGAAAGUAUCAAUAAUUUGGAGACAUACUUGGCGCAGUGCCUGACGUGUAGUAAUCGCUCACUGCUGGAAGGAUGCAGAGCCUGGAACCCCCUGCGGAGGAGGCGCAAGGGUGGCGCCGGAGAAAGGGAAGCAGACCCAGAGGGGGG